This 458-nucleotide ribosomal RNA is filed under the name uncultured bacterium. Its description in RNAcentral is "partial 16S ribosomal RNA". It matches the Rfam family "Bacterial small subunit ribosomal RNA", at positions 339 to 795 of the family's 1533-position model. The record is from RNAcentral.
CCUCGGGAGGCAGCAGUGAGGAAGAGUGGUCAAGGGUCGGGAGACGGAACCAGACAAGCCGCGUGAGGGAGGAAGGUACAGAGUAUAGUAAACCUCUUUUGUCAGGGAACAAAGGCGGGGACGCGUCCCCGGAUGAGUGUACCUGAAGAAAAAGCAUCGGCUAACUCGGUGCCAGCAGCCGCGGUAAUACGGAGGAGGCGAGCGUUAUCCGGAUUUAUUGGGUUAAAAGGGUGCGGAGGCGGUCUGUUAAGUAAGCGGUCAAAGCCCGGGGCUCACCCCCGGCCCGCCGUUGAAACUGGCAGUCUCGAGUUGGAGAGAAGUAUGCGGAAUGCGCGGUGUAGCGGUGAAAUGCAUAGAUAUCGCGCAGAACUCCGAUUGCGAAGGCAGCAUGCCGGCUCCACACUGACGCUGAGGCACGAAAGCGUGGGUAUCGAACAGGAUUAGAUACCCGAGUAGUC